This is a non-coding RNA of Trichonephila clavata, 72 nucleotides long. The record is from the annotation of a GenBank genome assembly. Lineage: Eukaryota; Metazoa; Arthropoda; Arachnida; Araneae; Nephilidae.
GUCCCUGCAGCGCAAUGGAUAGCGCGUUGGACUUCUAAUCCAAAGUCGUGGGUUCAAUUACCUCCAGGGAUG